UUAUUACCUCUCUUUUCUCUUCAGAUACAUCUAAGAUCAUGUUCCUUUGCUUAUCCACUUCCUUCUCAAGGUCCUUUAUCUUCAAUUUCAACUCAUCUUCUAGAUUCUUUGUUAGCUGCAUAUGUUCCUUGCUUAAUUGUUGUAAAUGGUCCUCCAUUUGUCUGAUCUGUAAAUCACGAGAACGAACCUCGGCCACGAGAUUGUUUACUGUUGCAGUAACACAAUCUUUGUCUGUCAUAAGCAUAUCAUAUUUCAAUUUCAUUUUGUCAAGGUUCUUAUUCAAAGCGUCUAUGUGUAUACCUUUCUCAUUAAGUUCUGUAGGAUAUGUAGGAUAUGGCAUUUGAAAUUUAUGAUUCCUAUUUGUGGAGCAAGAUGAAUGUAUGAUUUGGUUAAGGUUGAAUGCCUUUGUAUGUGAUGUUUGAAAUGUGGUGCUAACGAGGGCUAUGUUGAUUAGGUUAUAUGAAAUUGACAUGUUUUGAGGUGUAUUUGAUGACUUUUAUAGAGUGGUUAUAGGUUUGGUUUGGUAGCCAAGAUAGGUGUGAAAUUUACCUUGUUUUGGAAGCAAAAAUUGGUGCACAUGGCGAGGGAUACGGGCUAUACACGGCCAACCCACACGGUAAUGAAUCUUAAUGAUUUUAGCUGCAGGGCACACACGGUCUAAGACACAACCAGCGACAUGGUAGUGUGACCCAACAACAAAUGGACAUAGGGGCAGUCACACGGCCAUGUGACCUUAAUUUAAAUAUACACACGGGUGGACACACGGUUAUGUGUCUCGACUUUGAAUGUCCACACGGUCUGGGCUGUUACACACGAUCGUGUGUCCCUUGUUUUCAAAAUUUUCAUCUAUUUUCUAACUUUUCCAUUUUGUUUCAAAUUACACCAGAAUGUUUCCAAUCUAUUUUUAGGGCCCCAUAAACUCAGUUUAAGGCCUGUAAGUGUAUGUUAAUUGUGAAUUGAUUGUGAAUUGAUUAAUUGUAAUUAUAUUGAAUAAUUGUUUGAAAUGUUAUCGUAAUACUCCGUGACGUCAAUUCAGCGACAGACACUAGUUAGGGGCGUUAAGUUUAAAUUGUCUUUUAUAAAUUUUAUAUAAAUGCAUGAAAAAAACAAAAAGAAACACUCUAUAAUAAUAUUUAUUUAUCAUUAAAACUUAGUUUUUUAAUACUUUUCUUGAUCGAGUUAGUGUCGAGCUAACUCAUGAUACAGUCUAAAUUCAUGACGCCAAUUCAAUCAUACACUAAAUAAUAGUAUAAAUGUUAUUGUUCAUGAAAAAAUCAAAAUAUAAAUGUUGAAUCCGAAAAUGAAAUCAACGGUUAAGAUUUGAAAUAUAAGUAGAGAUGGUAAUGGAGUGGGGCGGAAUGAUUUUUUGUCCACCCGAAUUGAUAUACCUCUAACAUAAUCCGACUUUGAUCCAACUCAAAAUUAAAUAUUAAUUUACUUAUCUUGAACCUGACUCGAAAAAUCAAAGUUAUACCCUAUUUUGAUAGAUAUACCAAUACUUUUAAUUGUUUUUAUAUAUUUUUAUCAAAAUAGAAUAAUAGUUUUAAAGUUUUUAAUGAUAACAUGACUUUUUUUUGUAGUUAUAGUUAUGGUAGGGAAAAUAUUUUUAUAAUUAUCAUAUUUUAUAAUCUAAUAUUAGAUAUAAAUGGUUAUUUUGGCAAUUUUUUUUAAAUGGGAGAAAGAAUUAUAUGAAAUUGUGAUUCCACGUUAUCUGUACCCUUUUCUAAUACGAAAAUGACAAAUCAGAAUUUAAGAUUUAAUCCAUGUACUUUAAAAGUUAAAAUUUCAAUUAUCCUACUUCUACGAUUUAAAAAUUCUAGUCCAAUUAUUAUUAUCUAUAAUUUUUUGUCAAAAAAUUCAACUUAACAUCAUAUGAAAUGUUAUAUGAUGGCAGUCUAAUCAACAUGCCAAAUUGGAAGAUUUUGAUGGAAAUUAUUAACAAUGUUAAAGAUUGGAAUGAAAUUUUUAAAUCAAAAAAGUAAGAUAGCUAAAUUCCAAAUUUUAUCUAAGUCAAAGGGACUAACAACAUAUUUUCACAAAAGGAAUUGAUAGACUAAUUUAGGUUUUAAAAUAAGAAAAAUUUUCAUUUCCAGCUAUAUUCAACUUGUAUAAAUAUGGAAGCUAGCAUAUAAGGAUAAUAACUUUUCAUGGAAUCUAAGGACAAAAAAUAAUUAACAAUAUAUUUACAGUUCAAACCUCAUAAUUUUCAACCUUAAAACAUUACAUUGAUUAAACACACAAUUAAAAAGUAUCAAGCUUUAAGAACAACCACACACUUUUUUUGUGAAAUUGAAGCCGCAAUUUUUAGCACCUACCAUGGAUUGCUGAUUUUCUGCAUUCCCAAUGAGCAAUAUACUUGCAUCCUAGUUCUGCACAUUCAAGAAAAAUAUAUUCACAAGGCUUACCACAUUCAACACAUUUAUGGUAGUAAGGAAAUUUCUUGACAAAAGUGAAAGGGUAUGGAUGGUCUACCUCAUUGUAGGUGCUCCCGAGUUUGAUGAAUGGAUAUUUUCCAAGAAUACAAUCCACGUGAGCAAAAGUCUCACAAGUUUCACAAUGAUAAAACCAGUUCUUUGAAUCCCUUUUUUCCUCACAAAUGUCACUAUACAAGCCCAUUUUGCCCGGGGCCCAAUAUGGUCCAAAUAAAACCAACCCAAUACCCACCUAGACCUAACCCAAAAUCUAAAGCCCAAUACCCAAAAUACCCCAGACCCUCGGACCCCCUCCCUUGCAGAGAAUAGAAGUGUUUUUUUUUUUAACAGAAGAGAAAUGAAAUAUUUUUAAAGGAUUUUGACUUAUAUAGGGCCCUUCAAACGACGUCGUUUAAGGGCUGGUUUUAAUGGCUCAAAACGGCGUCGUUUUAGCCUUAGGAUCCGCGUGUUAACCCGACCCGUAAGGAGGAUCAGCGUGUUUUGUUGAAACGGGGAAAUUGUGCUUUUGGCCCCUCCGUGUUUUUAAUGUUUCGCAAUCGGAUUUUCUUAUUUUUAAAAUUUACCCUUUAAUUUGUUUUGAUUUCAAUUUGACCCUCUCUGGGACAACGUCGUUUGAUAAGCAAGGGGGUAUUUCCCUCUUCGGUCAUCUGCCUUUCAUGCGUGUUACAAUUUAAUCUUUUUUUAUAUAUAUCUUUAAUUACGGCCCUAAAACAUUGUUUGAUUUUCGAUUUGAUCCUUAAUUGGCUAUUAUAAUUAUCCUUCCUAUUAAAUUGAUUAUUUUAAUUGCAUUAAUGUUAUUAUACAGCGCUAUUAUUUAUUAGUAACAUUAUUAUUUUUAUUUCAUUUAUGCAUUUUUAUUUCUAAAAGUUUAUAUAUAUAGGCAUACAUUUCUCUAAUAUAUUUAUUUUAAAAUUCUUAUAAGUAUGUUGUUAUUUCAUUUUUUAUAUAUGCUUAUUUUUAUAAUAUACAUAUACGUACAUACUUACAUUUUUGUAUUAUGAUUUGCAUACACAUUUAUAUAUCUAUAUAACAUUUCUUAUCUUCGUAAAAACGCAUAUACAAAUUUAUAUAUACCUAUAUUUUCCAUAAUAUAUAAUACCUAUACAUAUUCUUGAUUUUUAUAAAUAUAUACAUGCUACCAUAUAUCUCUUAUUACAUUUUAUAGUAUAUAUAUAUACGCACUUUCAUACUUAUAUAUUUCAUAAUUUCUAUAUACAUACACACAUAUUUUAAUUCAUAUACAUAUAUAUAUACAAAUAUAUACAUAUAUAUAUUUUAUAUAUUCUAUUUUUUUAUUUUUUUAUUUCUACUACAAUUGUGUGUUUCACGCAAUGCUUGUUUUCUAUUUUAUGCCCGUUUUACUCGAAUAGUUUAUCUGUUUAUUACCUUGCAUGAUCAAUUCGAGUUUUAUUUAUCUUUUAUUUGCUGUUGCUCAUGCUAUUUGUGUUUGCAUCAUCGUAUAUACCAUUGCUUUGUCACGCAUAUCAACAAUAUAAUCUAUUUUCUUAUUUUUUAUGACAUCGUGUUUUAUUUUAGUCGAUAUGUCAAAAUUUGUCUUAAAAAAUAGUAUUUCGUAUUUUGAUAUUCGAAAAAUCGUACCCUAACUUACGGGGUUUCGAUUUUCUCGAUAAGUCUAAAUACGCGAAUCAUUUCAAACAAAGUUUUUUUUAUGUUCUCGGGAAUUAAAGAAAGAUCGUGUUCUAACUCACGGGACAUGAUUUCUUUCCUAAACCCGAGAUAAUCAAAUAUUUUCUUUAAAAUAAGUAAAUGUUUUUUGGUAUUCAUUUUCGUAUCGAGAAUUCGAGAUAUUGUGUCAUAACUUAAAGAACGUAAUUCUCUUUCUCGAUCAAUGUAACAUAUGCCUUUUUCUCAAUUUUUUAGCAUUUCAAUAAAGGAUCGUAUUUUAUCUCCUUAAAGUUUCCAAUCUUCGACAUUAAAACACUGAUUAAUCAAUUAGGUACCAAUUUUGGGCGUUACUAGGAUGCUAAUCCUUCCUCGUACGUAACCGACUCCCGAACCUAUUUUUCUGAAUUUCGCAGACCAAAAGCAUUGUUUUAAUAAAUCUAAACCAUUUAUUAAAAAACAACUGCUUUACGAGGUGACCCGAUCACAUCUCAUCAAAAAAAGAUUGGUGGCGACUCCCACAUUCGUUUUCAUUUUUUAAAAUCCAAGUCGACCCUAUUUUAUCAAAAAAAUGGUGUCAACAGUCACAACAAUAAUAUUUUACAUAAUCAUUAAUAUUUUCAUAAGUGAGAGUAAGAAUAUAAACAUCGCAUUUGAGUUUAACUGUAGUUGGUAGCAGAACACACCAACCGCAUAAAUUAAAAUUACAAUCCUUACAACAAAAUGCGGUAAUGAUAUCCCUCCCACAAGCACUACUGCUCCUCAUAAUCAUAAUAGAAAAGUAGAGGGCGUUUAUGCCCUGGAAUUUUUACAGCAUCUUGGAGAGUUGCACAUCGAACGCACGUGUGAAUUCCACAUUCAUUACUGCAUUGAUCACAUUCCCAAUCAGAUCUUCCCACGAAUCUAUCUACCUUUCUUUAUUGGGAUAAUAUAGUUUUUGGCCCUUAAACUUAAUAAUUAAAUUUUCUUUGAUACUUGUAUUUUUUUUACUUUGGUCUUUGAAUUUGACAACUAAAUUCAUUUUGAUCCUUAAACUCGGUACUUGAGCAUUUUAUGAAUUUUAAUUAUUUAUUAAAUUAUUAUUGGUCCAACGGUUGUACUGAUCGAAUUGAGAAUCAGUGAUCUCAGUUAUUAAAACACUGAAUUUGACACUCUUAAAAUUAAUGUGUAGUAAAAUUUUAUUUUGGCCCCCAAAAUGAAAAAAUUUAUUUCAGUGCUUUUGUAAAUAAAGAAAUUAUAAAUUAAUAAAUAGUAAAAUUUCUCUUUAGCCCCUUAAAAAUGAAAAAAUAAUAAUUAAUAUAUAGUAAAAUUUCUCUUUAGCCCCUUAAAAAUGAAAAAAAUUAUGUUUAAUUCCUUAAAAAAUCAUGAAAUUAUAAAUUAAUACAUAAUAAACUUAUUUUUUAUCUAUGAAAAAAUUAUAAUUAAUUCCGCCCCUUGUUAAAAAAAAAUUCUAGAUUCACCCCUACCGAAGUGAACAAAAAAAAGUACAGAUACCAAAUUGAACUUUUAGGGGUCAAAAAUUAUAUUAUCCCUUCUUUAUCUUUCAUUUUUAUUUUCUAUUUUUUUACAAUUUUUGGCAUUUAAUUAAGAGAAAAUUGGGGCUCAUUAUCAUCUCUUAUCUCAAGGUAUUCACGGUUUAAAAUUAAGAGAAUUAAGAGAAGUUUUGAGAGGUUAAAGUUAAAAUUAUUUCAUUAAAAUAAAUAUUAAACUUUUGAAAGGAUCAAAAAUAAAAAAAAUCAUUUAACAAAAAAAUUUAAAAAGAAUUAAAUUGAAUUUUUAAUAUUUUAGAAAGACUAAAAUUAAAUUGUACCAUUUAAUCAGGUCCAUAUUCUUCUUAUAAAUCAACCCUUUAUUCAUUGAAAUAUAUAUUUGUUUCUUUGAAAAUAUUUUUUAUGAAAUAUUUUUAAAAAAUUUGUCAAAUUAAUGAAAAUAUUUUACAUCGAUUCUAAACAAAUUUUCCAGUCUAAACAAUUUUUUUUUUAUAUCUAACUAUAUUCUACUUAUAUAAAUAUGGAAGGUGGCACAUAAGGACUAAAUAUUCAUGGAAUCUAAGGAUUAUUAUGAUUUUAGUUAGCAUGCAACAAAUUUAAUAUAUGAAAAUUAAAGAAGAUAUAAGCAAAUCAUAUCAAUUUUAUUCUCAUAUAUUUACAAUUCAAAUCUAAAUACAUUACAUUGUUUAAACACACAAUUAAUAAGUAGCAACCAUUAACAAUAACCACACACUGUCUUGUUCUGAAAUUGAAGUCGCAAUUUUUAGUAUCUACCACUGAUAUCUGCAUUUCCAAUGAGCAAUAUAGUUACAUCUUGGUUCUGCACAUUCAAGAGAAAGAUCUUCACAGGGCUUAUCACAUUUAACACAUUUAGGAUAGUAAUGAAUCUUCUUGACAAAAGCGAGAGGGUGUUCAUGGUUUCCCUCAUUGUAGGUGCUUCCGAGUUUGAUGAAUGAAUAUUCUCCAAGAACGCAAUUCACGUGAACAGAAGUGUCACAAGUUUCACACUGGUAAAACCAGUACUUUGGAUCCCUUUCUUUCUCACAAAUGUCACAAUAAUGAUAUUUUGCAUAAUCAUUAACCUUGUCAUAAGUGAGUGCAAGAAUAUGUUCAUCGCAUUUGUGUCUAACUCUAGUUGGUCGUAUAACACAUAAAUUGCAUAAAUUAAAAUUGCAAUCCUUGCAACGAAAUGCGCAAGAGAUAUCCCCCCCACAACCACUACACUGCUCCUGAUAAUCAUAAUAGAGAAGAAGAGGGUGUUUAUGCCCUGGAAUUUUUACAUCAUUUUGGAGAGUUGCACAUUGAACGCACCUGUGAAUUCCACAUUCAUUACAUUUAUAAGAAAAUCCAUUAGAAAGGUACCCGCAUAUAUCACAUUCGAACAUGCAGUCUGAAGUAAGGAUGAAGGAUUUUGAUCCAGAAAAAGGCUUUCCAGCACAACGAUGAUCCAAAAUAAGGUCCAUCUUAGGUAAUUCAGCACAAGAUUUAUGAAGAAAGAAAUCACACCGCAUGCAAUGGUAGAACUUAGCGGAGAUCAAUAACAAGCACCCAUCACAACAUUUAUCACCAUGCUCGCUGAUUUUGUCACUUAACAUCAAGUAGUGCCUAUGCUUGCAAUGUUCUAUGAGUGUGGCUUCUCCAGCAUCAUUCGUCUCAAGAACCUUAGUGAUGGAGUUAACAGGUAUAUCAAGAGACUUGUCAGCUUCAUUUUCCUGUGAUACUAUGCAAUACAACUUCUUUUCUUUCAAUGCACAAUCCACAUGGAAUAUAACAUUACAAUCUGCACAGAAGUAACUACCGUGCUCUGUAUCGACAACUUCAUGGCACAUAAUGCAAUUCAAACUUUCAAAAUAUUCCUUGUGAAUGAAAUACGUGUGAAAAACACGAUGGACAUGGAAAGAGUGUUGGAGAAUGCGUGGCAAUGAAAUGCAUUUUUUAUGGACCAUAAUACUGCAUGUACAACAUGCAUAGGCAACAUGAUGUCCUUCGGUGCCACAAGCAUCACAAAUGAAUGGAAUUUGUCUCCAAAACAAGGUGAAUGGGUGUUGAUGACUUUUAUCUUCAAUAACUGGUAAUGGCGAUAAACAAUCAAUAUGAAUAGCCAAAUUACAAGUUGAGCAACCAUACAGAAAGCCUCUUUGUUGGGUUACUUGGCAUAUCUUGCAAGAAAGCCGUUCACUAUUAAAUUGCAGAAGAAGAGGAUGUUUGCGAUGGCACACAUGACCCAUUUUGGGAGGAAGCUCAGCACAUUUCUUAUGCAAAUUAAACCCACAAUCAAGAGAGAAGUAUGUAUAAAUUGCUAAUGGUUCCCAACACGCAAAGCACUUACCCAGGUUUCCACCAUCGUUCUUAGAGGAAAACGAUGGAUCCUCAAGGGCCACAUGCUCAAGCUCUUUCAAAUUUCUUUCAGCAAUAUUAAAUGUAAACAAAGCACAUUUAAUAUGAAAGUUCAAGCCACAAGAGCAAUGGUAAAUGAAUUUCUCACAUGUUUCAUCACAGAAAUCGCAAACGCACCUUGUGUAAGAAGAUGGUGGAUUCUGCAAAAGCAGGAGAGGAUGGUGGCGAUGAAAAGGAUGAUUAAGCUCCAAAGGUGCCUGGGCACACGUCUUGUGGAGGUAAAACCCACUGCACUCCACACAGCUAAAACAUGGAGCUGACACCUUCUCCCCACACCUUGAGCAAUCAACAACUCCAUUGCCAUUGCCAAGCAACUGCUCUUCAUUUAACAUCAACAGUGGAUGUUGAUGCCCGUAGUUCUUUAGCUCUUCCAUUUCUCCUUCCUCUCUGUAUCUUUCGAUGUGGUAGAGAAAGAAAAAUUGAAAUUGAAUAACUCAAAGAAAGCAGAAAAUUAGAAGGGAGAGAUUCCAAAUGUUUAUUUGUAGGAGUCUCUUUGAACUUGCUAUGGUACUUUGCUUCGACGGUGUGUUGCCUAUACCCAUAUAUGUUUCUUCUUUAUAAUUACUAUGAAUGGGAUGCAAUGGGUUUGAGUGUACUCUUAAGUAAAUUAUCAAUUUUUUUCCUUUAUUCUUUGCUUUGUGGAUUAACUAAUUUUGUGGAUUAGAUAAUGAAUAUUCUGAUAUUGUUUGUGUGUAAAAAUAUAAGAUAAUAAGAUGAAAGGUAUUUUUAUAGGUUACGAGUUUUUCAAUUGAGAAUGAUAUCAAACAAUCAAAUUAUUCUAAAAAAAUUUGAAUCAAACAAUCAAACCAUUUAUCUAAUCGAAAAUUAAAAGCCUAUUUAAUUUAUUCUGGUGAUUAGAAUAAAAAAAUUUUGAACAAAGCUAGAUAGAUUAAUUAUACAAUUACCGAGCCACCAAUCGGCUCUCUUAGGAUAAUCUGCUACAGAAAUUACUCUUAACUCCCUUGGUAUUUGCUCAACCACUUCAAUCCCAAUGGGGUCAUCGUUCAUUAAACUAACCAUAUAAUUAGAUGUGAAUGAGACAUCUUUAUUAUAGGAAUGAUCCACAUUCGCUGUCCUGCAGUACAAAACUGUUGGAACACUGGCAGCAACAACCAAACAAUGAAACACUAAGAGCAUAAGCUCUUCAAACAGCAAGCAGAAACACAAAGCAUCAAGAGCAUAAGCUCUCGGUUAACAGGCAGAAAAAAGAAAAAGAAAGAACAAUGGCAGCAGCUCUUAGAAAAAGAACAAAACAGAGAACAAAGGAGGAAGAAACAAAAAUAAUUUACUUGCUCACAAACGUGCAGCAAGGAAGCAAUCUAAGUUUCACAACUGAUAUGCUUAAUUUUUCAAUAAGAAAAACAAUACAUUUAUAGCCAACCACAUCAGUUAUUACUACCUAAUACCACUAAGUAGCCUAGUAACUUUAAAAACAUUGCUUGUACACAUGGAUAAGCUGACUUAUCAGCUCAACCAACCCAUCAAAACAUCAACAUCAAAGUUCAUUCUCAACCAAACUAAAUUACAGAAUCAUCAUAGUACCAUGCAUUUUAACAAAAACAUAAUAGCAGCAUGGUUGGCCAUUUUUAACACAAACUGAAUCUACAAGCUAAUGAUAGAAACAUAAACCAAAAUAUAUAGUACAUUGUUUGAUUAAAAUUGAAAACAUGGUUCAUAUUUGUCCACUGUAAUGUUCAGGUGUUCAAUAACAUGCAAAAGAUAUAUAUAUAUAUAUAGUCUAAUGACAGCUUCAAGUUUAUCUAAGCAAAUACGAAUAUAUCACCCAAAACUUCCCACAGAAACUCAAAUUUAAGUACUAAUAAGUUCAUAAAACAAGUUAAACGAAAGAUUACAUCAAGGGAAAAAGACAAUCCAGACAAGUAACUAUACCGAUACUCAUAUUUAAUCGAACUCAUAAAGCGAUAAACGCUUGUCGUUUGUGCUUGAGGAAUGUCUGAAGCUCUUUAUAACCACUCCUGUAAUGGUCCAGACUGAAUGUAAGCUGUCUUAUUACCUCUCUUUUCUCUUCUGACACAUCUAAGAUCAUGUUCCUUUGCUUAUCCACUUCCUUCUCAAGGUCCUUUAUCUUCAAUUUCAACUCAUCUUCUAGAUUCUUUGUUAGCUGCAUAUGUUCCUUGCUUAAUUGUUGUAAAUGAUCCUCCAUUUGUCUGAUCUGUAAAUCACGAGAACGAACCUCGGCCACGAGAUUGUUUACUGUUGCAGUAACACAAUCUUUGUCUUUCAUAAGCAUAUCAUAUUUCAAUUUCAUUUUGUCAAGGUUCUUAUUCAAAGCUUCUAUCUGUAUACCUUUCUCAUUAAGUUCGGUCUUCAAUUGAUUGAUCUGACCUUGUAAGUUGGUUUCUUGUACAGCAAGCAAGCUUUCGAUAACUGGUAAUGGCGACACACAAUCAAUGUGAAUAGCCAACUCACAAGGUGAACAACCAUACAAAUAUCCUCUUCCUUGAGUUACUUGGCAUAUUUUGCAAGCACGCCGUUCACUAUUAAAUUGCAAAACAAGAGGAUGUUUGCGAUGACACGAAUGAUCCAUUUUGAGAGGAAGCUCAGCACACCUCUUAUGCAAUUUAAACCCACAAUCAAGAAAGAAGUAUGUAUACAUUGCUAAUGGUUCCCAGCACACAAAGCACUUACCCAGGUUUCCACCAUCGUUUUUAGAGGAAAACGAUGGAUCCUCAAGGGCCACAUGCUCAAGCUCUUUCAAAUUUCUUUCAGCAAUAUUAAAUGUAAACAAAGCACAUUUAAUAUGAAAGUCCAAGCCACAAGAGCAAUGGUAAAUGAAUUUCUCACAUGCUUCGUUGCAGAAAUCGCAAACGCACCAUGUGUAAGGAGUGUAAGGUGGAUUGUUGAAGUCAACCCCCAUGCAACAGCCAAGGUGACCAUGCAAGGUGGCCAUGCAGGGAUCGUGCUUUAACAGCAAACCGAAACUGCAUUGUUUCAUUUGGUUACUCAAAUGAACAUUUUGUAUUUUAGUUUGUUUUGAACUAAGUUGGUAACUGUAUUUUGAUGUAAUUAGGUGCUGAAUGACAAGUUUAGGUAGAAGUUUAUGUUUUCAAUCAAGUUUACCAAGUUACUAGGCAAUUUAGUGGUGUUAGGUAUGUUAUUAGGUGGCAACUUGUUUGUUUUGCUGUUGUUAUCUCAUAUAUGUAUUGGUAUUAUGGCUUGUAAAAAUGUUAAUGAAAAUUCAGCUCAUUUUCAUUCAAUUUCAUCUCUUUCUUUUCUGUUCUCCAUUGCAAAAUUUCUUUCUUCUUCUUCAAUAGUUUAUUCAGCAAGGCUCGACACUUGCUGUGCAAGCAAGCUGAAACCAUCUUGCUAUUACCUCUUGCACCAACAAUUGGUAUCUAGAGCCGUUGUCUUAGUGGACCUGUUGCUUCAAACCAAGGAACCUGAUGGCUUCUUCAGGAUUUUCACCAGCAGCCCCACCAGUCUUCAAUGGAGAAAGCUUUCACAUAUGGCUGGUAAAGAUGAAGACUUACCUGCAGGCCUUUGAUCUGUGGGAAGUUGUUAACACAGAUGCUGAGCCAGCACCACUGAGGGCUAAUCCCACAGUAGCUCAGAUCAGACAACAUGCUGAUGAGAGGACCAAAAGGCACAAAGCCAUGUCCUGCAUUCAGAACUGUGUAUCAGAUGUCAUCUUUACCAAAAUUAUGGCCUGUGAGACUCCAAAACAGGCCUGGGACAAGCUUAAGGAGGAGUUUCAAGGCACUGAGAGGACAAGGCAACAACAGCUGUUGAAUUUGAGAAGGGAUUUCGAGAAUCUGAAGAUGUAGGAAGAAGAAACAGUGAAGCAGUAUUCAGAUAGAAUUAUGGCAGUGGUUAACAGUAUAAGGCUCCUAGGUGAGCACUUUGAUGAGGCAAGAAUUGUGGAGAAAGUCCUCUCCACUUUGCCUGAGAAAUAUGAAGCAAAGAUAUCCUCCCUAGAGGACUCAAGAGACCUUGCUAGCAUCUCUUUGACUGAGUUAAUCAACACCUUCUAUGCUCAGGAACAAAAGAGAGCUAGCAGAGCUGAAGAUCACCAAGAAGGUGCAUUUCAAGCCAAGGCCAGAGAAGCCUCGAGCACCAAUGCUCAAAGAGGCAAAAAGCCUUGGAAAAGCAGGCCUAAGCCUGAUGCUGCAAGGAGCAAUGACCAGCCCUGCAGAUAUUGCAAGAAGCUAGGCCAUCCAGAAGACAGAUGUUGGUUCAGGCCAGAAGCAGUAUGCCAGCACUGCAAGAAGAAGGGCCAUGUUGAAAGGGUUUGCAAAAAUAGAACCAAGCCAAGGCAGAGCCAAUUUCAACAACCAAAGGUUGAAGCUCGAGUAGCUGAGGACAGUAGUGACCAAGAGGAGCAGGUCUUUGCUGUUUCUUGCUUAACUGCUGAGAAGAAAUCUUCAAAAGGUUGGCUAUUGGACAGUGGUUGCACUAACCACAUGUCACCAGAUGCCUCCUUGUUUAAAACCUUGGAUAGAAGUUGCAAAACCAAGGUCAAGGUUGGAAAUGGCCAGUUUAUAAAGGCUGAAGGAAGAGGAGAGGUGCUGAUAUGUACUCCUACAGGUAACAAGGUCAUACCAAAUGUGCUUUUGGUGCCUGAGAUUGACAGAAACCUUCUCAGCAUAGCCCAAUUGCUUGAGAAAGGUUAUUCUGUUGUAUUCAAGGAUAAACAGUGCCACAUUGCAGAUCCAAGUGGAUCAAGCCUUAUGACAGUCACAAUGACUGAUAAAUGCUUUAAGGUUCAUUGGUCAAAUGACUCAAAGUCAGCAUAUACAGCCUCUAUAGAUGACUCCAAACUCUGGCAUAGAAGGCUUGGACAUGCCAACUUCAGGUCAAUGGGUCGAAUGGCCAGUGAGGGCUUGGCUGAGAACUUCACCAACUCAGUGGAGUAUGAUGAUGUGUGUGAGGUCUGCCAGAUGGGGAAACAGGCAAGAUUGCCAUUUUCUACAAAUGCAGCAUGGAGAGCUACUGAAAGACUGCAGCUGGUGCACUCUGAUGUAUGUGGCCCGAUGAGGACUGAAUCACUCAGCAAAAACAGGUAUUUCAUCCUCUUCAUUGAUGAUUUUACAAGGUUUUGCUGGAUUUUCUUCUUAAAACAUAAGUCUGAGGUAGCUCAAGUGUUUGUGAAGUUUAAAACUACUGUAGAAACAGAAACAGGUUGCAAGCUGAAAUCGAUAAGGUCAGACAAUGGCACUGAGUACACUUCAGCUCAGUUUCAAGCCAUUUGCAAGGAUGCUGGCAUCAAACACCAGCUUACAAAUGUCUACACACCUCAGCAGAAUGGGGUAUCUGAAAGAAAGAACAGAAGUCUGAUGGACAUGGCCAGGUGCCUGUUGUUUGAGAAGAAACUGCCCAAAGCCAUGUGGGCUGAGGCAGUGAACACUGCUGUUUACCUACAGAACAGACUUCCAACCAAAGCUCUUACUCACAAGACACCUUUUGAGGCAUGGUUUGGUUUCAAACCUUCAUUGGCUCAUCUAAAGGUGUUUGGUUGCUUGUGUUAUACACAGAUACCAACAGUAAAGAGGGAUAAGCUAUCAAAGAGAGCUCAGGCUGGCAUCCUAGUUGGCUAUAGCUUAGUCAAAAAAGGAUAUCGGAUCCUGGACCCCUUGACAAGUAAAAUUCAAGUGAGUAGGGAUGUGAUUUUUGAUGAAAAGGCAUGCUGGAAUUGGGAUAAGAAUUCACCAGAAGCUGAGGUAAAUGAAAUGGUGCCUAACCAAGCUGAACUUGAGCAACUUUGUCCUGAAGUGGACUUUGAUGAUGUGCCUGUAAGAGGCACAAGGCUCUUGGAUAAAAUUUAUGAAAGAGCACAGGUUGCCAAAGUUGAACCUACCUGUUUUGAAGAAGCUGAGACAGAUGAAGGUUGGAAGCAAGCAAUGGCAAAAGAGAUCAGCAUGAUUGAGAAGAAUCAGACUUGGGAACUGGUUGAAAAACCUGUCAACAGAAGGAUCAUUGGAGUAAAAUGGGUUUAUCGAGUCAAGCACAAUGCAGAUGGAAGCUUAAACAAACUGAAAGCUAGACUGGUUGUAAAAGGCUUCAGUCAAAAAUAUGGUUUGGACUACAUGGAAACAUUUGCUCCAGUAGCCAGACUUGAUACAAUCAGAUUGCUUGUGGCUCUUGCUGCUCAAAACCAGUGGUCAAUUCACCAGAUGGAUGUAAAGUCUACAUUUCUCAAUGGCUUUCUGGAAGAGGAGAUAUAUAUUGAACAACCUCCAGGUUUUGUAAUGCCUAGUAGAGAACACUUGGUAUACAGGCUCAAAAAGGCCUUGUAUGGCCUAAAACAGGCUCCUAGAGCCUGGUAUGCUCGAAUUGAUUCAUACCUGAUCAGCUUAGGAUUCGAAAGAAGUUCUAGUGAACCAACUCUUUAUGUUAAGAAGAAUCAAGCAGAAACACAGCUUAUUGUGUCUCUUUAUGUGGAUGAUCUCCUUGUGACAGGAGGAGACAAGACUAUGUUAGAAGAUUUCAAAGGAAAAAUGAAGGAGAUGUUCGAGAUGUCAGAUUUGGGGUUGAUGACUUAUUUCCUUGGAAUAGAGAUACAACAAGCUGAUCAAGGGAUCUUUUUGGGACAAAAGGCAUUUGCUUUGAAAGUUUUAUCCAAGUUUUCAAUGCAAAAUUGCAAGCCAACAUGCACACCUAUGGCAGUUGGCAUAAAACUGUCGAGCCAAGAAGAACAUGAGCCUGUCAAUGAAUCAUUUUAUAGGAGCCUUGUUGGUUGUUUUCUGUAUUUAACAGCAACAAGACCUGACAUUCUGUUUGCUGUGAGCAUGCUAUCAAGGUUCAUGCACUGCUGUAACCAGCAACAUUACAAGGCUGGGAAAAGGGUGCUAAGAUACAUCAAAGGUACCUUAAACCAUGGAAUAUAGUUUAGAAGGGCUGAAGAGUUGAAACUGAUUGGCUACACUGAUAGCGAUUGGGCUGGUUCAAAGGAUGACAUGAAGAGCACUUCUGGCUAUGCUUUUACACUUGGCUUAGCUAUAAUAUGUUGGAGCUCAAGAAAACAAACAAUGGUGGCUCAAUCAACAGCAGAAGCAGAGUAUGUAGCAGCUGCCAAUGCUGUUAAUCAAGCUAUGUGGCUGAGAAAAAUUUUGAGCGAUUUGAAUCUACAGCAGAAUGAAGCAACUGUGAUACAUUGUGACAACAAGUCAGCAGUUGCUAUUGCUAAAAAUCCUGUCUUCCAUGGCAGGACAAAACAUUUCAACAUUAAACUCCAUGUGAUAAGAGAAAUGGAACAAGCUCGAGAGAUCGAGCUAAUUCAUUGCAGCUCAGAAGGUCAGAUCGCCGAUAUCUUCACAAAAUCACUUGGUACAUCGAGAUUUCUAAACCUAAGGAAGCAGCUAGGAGUCUGCUGCAUAGAAGCUGAGGAGGAGUGUUGAAGUCAACCCCCAUGCAGCAGCCAAGGUGACCAUGCAAGGUGGCCAUGCAGGGAUCGUGCUUUAACAGCAAACCGAAACUGCAUUGUUUCAUUUGGUUACUCAAAUGAACAUUUUGUAUUUUAGUUUGUUUUGAACUAAGUUGGUAACUGUAUUUUGAUGUAAUUAGGUGCUGAAUGACAAGUUUAGGUAGAAGUUUAUGUUUUCAAUCAAGUUUACCAAGUUACUAGGCAAUUUAGUGGUGUUAGGUAUGUUAUUAGGUGGCAACUUGUUUGUUUUGCUGUUGUUAUCUCAUAUAUGUAUUUGUAUUAUGGCUUGUAAAAAUGUUAAUGAAAAUUCAGCUCAUUUUCAUUCAAUUUCAUCUCUUUCUUUUCUGUUCUCCAUUGCAAAAUUUCUUUCUUCUUCUUCAAUAGUUUAUUCAGCAAGGCUCGACACUUGCUGUGCAAGCAAGCUGAAACCAUCUUGCUAUUACCUCUUGCACCAACAUGGAUUCUACAGAAGCAGGAGAGGAUGGUGGCGAUGAAAAGGAUGAUUAAGCUCCAAAGGUGCCUCGGCACAUGUCUUGUGGAGGUAAAACCCACAGCACUCCACACAGCUAAAACAUGGAGCUGACACCUUCUCCCCACACCUUGAGCAAUCAACAACUCCAUUGCCAUUGCCAAGCAACUGCUCUUCAUUUAACAUCAACAGUGGAUGUUGAUGCUCAUAGUUCUUUAGCUCUUCCAUUUCUCCUUCCUCUCCGUCUCUUUCGAUGUGGUAGAGAAAGAAAAAUUGAAAUUGACUAACUCAAAGAAAGCAGAAAAUUAGAAGGGAGAGGUUCCAAAUGUUUAUUUGUAGGAAUCUCUUUGAACUUGCUAUGGUACUUUGCUUCAACAGUGGGUUGCCUAUACCUAUAUAUGUUUGAUCUUCUUUAUAAUUACUAUGAAUGGGAUGCAAUGGGUUUGAGUGUACUCUAAGUAAAUUAUCAAUUUUUUUCCUUUAUUCUUUGCUUUGUGGAUUAACUAAUUUUGUGGAUUAGAUAACGAAUAUUCUGAUAUUGUUUGUGUGCCAAAAAAAACAAGAUGAUAUGAUGAAAGGUAUUUUUACAGGUUACGAAUUUUUCAACUGAGAAUGAUAUCAAACAAUCAAAUUAUUCUAAAAAAAUUGAAUUAAAUCAUUUAUCUAAUCGAAAAUUAAAAACCUAUUUAAUUUAUUCUGGUGAUUAGAAUAAAAAAAAUUUGAACAAAGCUAGAUAGAUUAAUUCUAACAUUUUUGUGAGGCUAAACCAUAAUUUUACCAUAUAUUAACUUAAUAUUUUAUAAAAUUUAGGAGAUUAAAGCAACAAUUAGAAAGAUAUAAAUCCCAACGUGUUUAAGCACAUAUUUUUUCUUUAAUUUAAAAUUAUGAAAAAAUUAUAAAUAAAAGUUAAUUAUAUUAUACUCUAAAGUCUAUUCUUUGUCAUAAAGUAUUCAACUUUUGCAGCCGACAAUAUUAAGAAAAAAAAUUUGUUCCUCCAACAAUCACUUUCUUUUAUAAUUAAAAUUUGAAUUUUGAUUUUCAAAGCCCUUAAUAUUUCAAACAAGUUGGUGGAAAUUUCCAAAUCGUCCCUUUAUUAUAAAGAUUUGUUUGAUUUAGUCUCUAUAUUAUUAAAUGAAUUGAUUUAGUCCGUGUACUAUUAAAAAGUAUCAAUAAGGGAAAAUUGGAAAAUACUUAAAUAUUUACUAUAUAAAAAAUGUCAUUUAUUGUUUCGUAUUUUUAAAUUUUUUACGGUUCUGUAAAUGAAAUCUUGUGUUUUGAAAAAAAAUAUUUUCAAGACAUUUUUUAUAUUGUUAACUUUGUUACAAAUUAGACAGACUUAAAUUUUUUUGAUAGUAUAGAGACUAAAUUUAUUUAUUUAAUAAUAGAAAUUUUAAUUUGGUCCAAUCCCUAUAAUACAAGGAACUCACGGGACAAACACAAUAAAUUUGAUGCUAACCUAUGAAGUUUUGAAAAUUAAUGUAUGCAAUUAUAAAAUGAUACAUGCGUAGUUGACUAUGUCAAAAUGGGAAGUAAAUGGGAUAAAUCUCAAAAUUAUACAUACAUGAACUUUAUUUUGGUGCAAUUAUAGACGUGAAACGCUAUUGUGAUUCAAAUGUAUAUUUGAAACUUUAAUUUUGAUUUAAUCAUACACAUUUAAAGAAAUAAAGUCAAGUUUUAUUUUUAUAUUGUAUAAAAAUAAUAUUUAUGUAUGCAAUAUAUAAACAUAAAAUGAUGUUAUAUCAAUAAUCAUGUUAAUAAUUUAAAAGAAUAGGAUCAAAUUAAAAUUUCAUGUAUAUAAUUGCACAUUAAAUCAUAGUUCGUAUAUAAUUUUGAAAUUUAUCCAUAAAUAAAUUAGUUAAAUUUUUAAUUGGAUUUAACCUCUCUUUUGCACAUAUUAUAAUUUAUUCAUGGAGCUUCACAAAAAAGCAUAAUCGUAAUCAAAAUCAAGAUUAUGGAGUUUAAAAUGAUAAAGUUUUUUGAAAAUCGUAAUAUUUUAGAUUUAAAUUUCAUCAUUAGUAGGUUUGAUGUUUUUAGUCUAUUAGUUCAUGAUACUAACUUGAUUAGAAAUUUUCAGUUGGAAUAAUUUGUCCACUUCAAUUGUACAAACUAUUAAAAAAACCCAUAAAUAUAUAAAAAAUAUAUAUAUAUAUUCAACCAUAAAUUUAUAUCGAUUCAUAGAUCAAUCGAUCCAACUUCUUAUUUCGAACUGAUACCUCAAUUAGAAGUGUCCAUGAGACUUGCAAUAUACAUGGGGCAUCUGCACAGCUCACUCCCGAUCAAGCAAGCAUCGAAUUCUUCGAAACCGUGCAGCAUUAGUAAGGAGACAUUUUUUCAAAGUGAGCAUAUUUCAAUUUCAUUUUGUCAAGGUUCUUAUUCAAAGCGUCUAUGUGUAUACCUUUCUCAUUAAGUUCUGUCUUCUUCCUUAGUUCCUUAUAUGCACUCUUAACAGUGAAGUCACCAUCAAAUGAUUGCGAAGUAGGUCCCACUUCCAUGAGUUGUCUUAUUUUUUCCUCCAAUACACUUCCAAGCAGGGAAAGAGCUAUCGAGGGCGGAACUUGAAGGUGUUCUGGUUUUUGUUGAACCUUUUUUGUUUCAUGUCAAUGGGACCUUAUCCAAUUGGCAAUGGUGGGAAAACAAAGUUUGCCAUUUUGAUCCAUUUGUAAGGUUAAGUCACUUGGCAGUGGGGGUUUCACAGUUGAGUGGCAAGGGCUAUGGAGGCGGAAGCUUCUUUUUGUCUGUAUUUUUUUAGUUUUAUGUAAUUUCGUUGAUAGGAUAGAAUGGUUAAAGUGAUAUGUUCAGGGUGAGAAUCCAACUUGAGUAACUGUUCACCUGCACUGAAUAACUUGUAUGUUGAGAAAUUUAAAUUCUUGGUGUUAUUUUGUUGGGUUGAAGUUAUUGAUGUUAGAUGUAUGUAUGUGUGUGUUGUAUGGUAGAUAUUGUAUAUGGUUGAUAUUUUAAGUUCUAUGGAAUCUGGCUCUUUUUGAAGUAAAUGAUUGAGGUCAAUUUGUUGAGUUGAAAUAUGUAGGAUAUGGCAUUUGAAUUUUAUGAUUCCUAUUUGUGGAGCAAGAUAAAUGUAUGAUUUGGUUAAGGUUGCUUGCCUUUGUAUGUGAUGUUUGAAAUGUGGUGCUAAUGAGGGCUAUGUUGGUUAGGUUCUUAUAUUGUAUGAAAUUGACAUGUUUUGACUUGUUUUGAGGUGUAUUUGAUGACAUUUUUAGAGUGGUUAUAGGCUUGGUUUGGUAGCCAAGAUAGGUUUGAAAUUUGCCUUGUUUUGGAAGCAAAAAUUGGUGCACAUGGUCAGGGAUACAGGCUAUACAUGGUCUACCCUCGGUCCCAUACGGCCGUGUGUCCUAAUGAUUUUAGGUGCAGGGCACACACGGUCUAAGACACAACCAGCGACAUGGUCGUGUGACCCAAAAACAAAUACACACACGGGCAGUCACACGGCCAUGUGACCUUAAUUUGAAUAUACACAUGGGUGGGCACACAGUCGUGUAUCUCGACUUUGAAUGUCCACACAGUCUAGGCUAUUACACACGGCCAUGUGUCCCUUGUUUUAAAAAUUUUCAUCUUUUUUCCUAACUUUUCCGUUUUGUUCCAAAUUGACCCUAGAAUGUUUCUAAUUUACUUUUAGGGCUCCGUAAACUCAGUUUAAGGCCUGUAAAUGUAUGUUUAUUGUGAAUUGAUUGUGAUUUGAUUAAUUGUAAUUAUAUUGAAUAAUUGUUUUUAAGUAGUGUUAAAUGUUUGAAAUGUUAUAGUAAUACUCCAUGACUUUAAUUCAGCGACAGACACUGGUUCAGGGCGUUAAGUUUAAAUUAUCUUUUAUAAAUUUUAUAUAAAUGCAUGAAAAAUACAAAAAGAAACACUCUAUAAUAAUAUUUAUUAAUCAUUAAAACUUAGUUUUUUAAUAUACUUUUCUUGAUCGAGUUAGUGUCGAGCUAACUCAUGAUACUGUCUAAAUUCAUGACGCCAAUUCAAUCAUACACUUAAAUAAUAGUAAAAAUGUUAUUAUUUAUGAAAAGAUCAAAAUAUCAAUGUUGAAUCCCAAAAUGAAAUCAGCAAUUAAGAUUUGAAAUAUAAGUAGAGAUGGUAAUGGAGUGGGGCGGAAUGGUUUUUUGUCCACCUGAACCGAUAUACCUCUAACAUAAUCCGACUUUGAUCCAACUCAAAAUUAAAUAUUAAUUUACUUAUCUUGAACCUUACUCGAAAAAUUAAAGUUAUACCCUAUUUCGAUCAAUAUACCAAUACUUUUAAUUGUUUUUAUAUGUUUUUAUUAAAAUAGAAUAAUAGUUUUAAAGUUUUUAACGACAACAUUACUUUUUUUUUUGUAGUUAUAGUUAUGGUAGGGAAAAUAUUUUUAUAAUUAUCAUAUUUUAUAAUCUAAUAUUAUAUAUAAAUGUUUAUUUUGGUAAUUACGGGGCAAAUUUUUCUAAAUCGGAGAAAGAAUUAUAUGAAAUUGUGAUUCCACGUUAUCUGUAUCAUUUUCUAAUACGAAAAUGACAAAUCAGAAUUUAAGAUUUAAUCCAUGUACUUUAAAAGUUAAAAUUUCAAUUAUCCUACUUCUACGAUUUAAAAAUUCUAGUCCAAUUAUUAUUAUUUGUAAUUUUUUUGUCAAAAAAAUCAACUAACAUCAUAUGAAAUGUUAUAUGAUGGCAGUCUAAUCAGCAUGCCAAAUUGGAAGAUUUUGAUGGAAAUUAUUAACAAUGUUAAAGAUUAGAAUGAAAAUUUUAAAUCAGAAAAGUAAUAUGACUAAAUUUUAAAUUUUAUCUAAGCCAAAGGGACUAGCAACAUAUUUUCACAAAAGAAAUUGAUAGACUAAUUAAUUUAGGUUUUAGACUAAGCAAAAUUGUCAUUUCCAACUAUAUUCAACUUGUAUAAAUACGGAAGCUAAUAACUUUUCAUGGAAUCUAAGGACAAAAAAUAAUUAACAUACUGCAUGUAAGAAAAAGAAGAAAUAAGCAAAUCAUAUAAAUUUUAUUAUCAUAUAUUUACAGUUCAAACCUCACAAUUUUCAGCCUUAAAACAUUACAUUGAUUAAACAUACAAUUAAAAAGUAUCAAGCUUUAAGAACAACCACAAUUUUUUUUUUUUGGUGAAACUGAAGCCUCAAUUUUCAGCACCUACCACGGAUGGUUGAUUUUCUGCAUUCCCAAUAAGCAAUAUACUUGCAUCCUAGUUCUGCACAUUCAAUAAAAAUAUAUUUACAAGGCUUACUACAUUCAACACAUUCAGGAUAGUAAGGAAAGUUCUUGACAAAGUGAGAGGGUGUGGAUGGUCUCCCUCAUUGUAGGUGCUCCCGAGUUUGAUGAAUGGAUAUUUUCUAAGAACGCAAUCUACAUGAGCAGAAGUGUCACAAGUUUCACAAUGAUAAAACCAAUUCUUUGAAUCCCUUUUUUUCCUCACAAAUGUCACAAUAAUGAUAUUUUGUAUAAUCAUUAAUCUUGUGAUAAGUGAGGUUAAGAGGAUGAUCAUCUCAAUUGUGUCCGAUUCUAGUUGGUCGCAUAACACAAUGAAGGCAUAAACCAAAGUUACAAUCUUUACAACCAUAUGUGUUACUGAGAUCCGUCCCACAACCACUACACUGCUCCUCGAAAUGAUAAUAAUCAUAAUAGAAAAGAAGAGGGUGUUUAUGCCCUGGAAUUUUUAGAUCUUAUUGGAGAGUUGCACACCGAACGCACGUGUGAAUUCCACAUUCAUUACAUUUAUAAGAAAAUCCAUUAGAAAGGUAGCUGCAUUGAUCAGAUUCGAACAUGCAGUCUGAAGUAAGGAUGAAGGGUUUUGAUCCAGAAAAAAUAGAUGCAUAUAGUCUAUACCUUUUUUUCUUGGUAAAAAAAGGUCAUUGCGGUCCCAAUCAGAUAUACCUUUCUUUAUUGGGAUAAUAUAGUUUUUGGCCCUUAAACUUAAUAAUUAAAUUUUCUUUGAUACUUGUAUUUUUUUUACUUUGGUCUUUGAAUUUGAUAACUAAAUUCAUUUUGAUCCUUAAACUUGGUACUGGAGCAUUUUAUGAAUUUUAAUUAUUUAUUAAAUUAUUAUUGGUCCAACAGUUGUACUGAUCGAAUUGAGAAUCGGUGAUCUCGGUUAUUAAAACACUAAAUUUGACACUCUUAAAAUUAAUGUGUAGUUAAAUUUUAUUUUGACCCCCAAAAUGAAAAAAAAAUCAUUUCAGUCCUUUUAUAAAUAAAGAAAUUAUAAAUCAAUAUAUAGUAAAAUUUCUCUUUAGCCCCCUAAAAAUGAAAAAAAUUAUGUUUAAUUGCUUAAAAAUCAUGAAAUUAUAAAUUAAUACAUAAUAAACUUAUUUUUUAUCUAUGAAAAAAUUGUAAUUAAUUUCGCCCCUUGUUAAAAAAAUUUCUAGAUUCGCCCCUACCAAAGUGAAUGUUUAGGGGUCAAAAAUUAUAUUAUCCCUUCUUUAUCUUUCAUUUUUAUUUUCCAUUUUUUUUACAAUUUUUGGUAUUUAAUUAAGAGAAAAUUGGCCCUCAUUUUCAUCUCUUAUCUCAAGGUAUUCACGGUUAAAAAUUAAGAGAAUUAAGAGAAUUUUUGAGAGGUUAAAGCUAAAAUUCUUGCAUUAAAAUAAAUAUUAAACUUUUGAAAGGAUCAAAAAUGAAAAACUUUCAUUUAACAAAAACAAUUUAAAAAGAAUUAAAUUGAAUUUUUAAUAUUUUAGAAAGACUAAAAUUAAAUUGUAUCAUUUAAUCAAGGUUCAUAUUCUUCUUAUAAACCAACCCUUUAUUUAUUGAAAUAUAUAUUUGUUUCUCUGAAAAUAUUUCAUAAAAAAUAUUUUCAAAAAAUUUGCCAUGGAUUCUAAAUAAAAUUUCUUGUGAAACAAAUGGAUUGUAAACAUUUUUUUUAUAUCUAACUAUAUCCAACUUAUAUAAAUAUGGAAGGUAGCACAUAAGGACUAAUUAUUCAUGGAAUCUAAGGAUUUUUAUGAUUUUAGUUAGCAUGCAACAAAUUUAAUAUAUGAAAAUUAAAGAAGAUAUAAGCAACUCAUAUCAAUUUUAUUCUCAUAUAUUUACAAUUCAAAUCUAAAUAUAUUACAUUGUUUAAACACACAAUUAAAAAGUAGCAACCAUUAACAACAACCGCGCAUUGUCUUAUUCUGAAACUAAAGCCGCAAUUUUCAGUAUCUACCACCGAUUUCUGCAUUUCCAAUGAGCAAUAUAGUUACAUCCUAGUUCUGCACAUUCAACAGAAAGAUCUUCACAGCGCUUACCACAUUUAACACAUUCAGGAUAGUAAUGAAUCUUCUUGACAAAUGUGAGAGGGUGUUCAUGGUUUCCCUCAUUGUAGGUGCUCCCGAGUUUGAUGAAUGAAUAUUUUCCAAGAACGCAAUCCACGUGAACAGAAGUGUCACAAGUUUCACAAUAGUAAAACCAGUGCUUUGGAUCUCUUUCUUUCUCACAAAUGUCACAAUAAUGAUAUUUUGUAUAAUCAUUAACCUUGUCAUAAGUGAGUGCAAGAAUAUGUUGAUCGCAUUUGUGUCUAACUCUAGUUGGUCGUAGAGCACACAAAUGGCAUAAGUGAAGAUUGCAAUCCUUACAACGAAAUGCGCGAAUGAUAUCCCUCCCACAAGCACUACACUGCUCCUCAUAAUGAAAAUAGAAAAGAAGAGGGUGUUUAUGCCCUGGAAUUUUUACAGCAUCUUGGAGAAAUAGAUCAAGACAUCGAAGGCAGUCGGCUUCUCCACAUUCAUUACAUUUAUAAGAAAAUCCAUUAGAAAGGUACCUGCAUAGAUCACAUUUGAACAUGCAGUCUGAAGUAAGGAUGAAGGGUUUUGGUCCAGAAAAAAAUUGCGUUCCUCCACAUAAAUGUUUUGAAAAAGACUUCAUCUUAGGCAAUUCAGCACAAGAUUUAUGAAGAAAGAAAUCACACCGCGAGCAAUGGUAGAACUUAGCGGAGAUCAAUAACAAGCACCCAUCACAACAUUUAUCACCAUGCUCUCUGAUAUUGUCACUUAAUAUCAAGUGGUGCUUAUGCUUGCAAUGUUCUAUUACUGUGGCUUCUCCAGCAUCAUUCCUCUCAAGAACCUUAUUGAUGGAGUUAACAGGUAUAUCAAGAGACUUGUCAGCUUCAUUUUCCUGUGAUACUAUGCAAUACAACUUCUUUUCUUUCAAUGCACAAUCCACAUGGAAUAUAACAUUACAAUCUGCACAGAAGUAACUACCGUGCUCUGUAUCGACAACUUCAUGGCACAUAAUGCAAUUCAAACUUUCAAAAUAUUCCUUGUGAAUGAAAUACGUGUGAAAAACACGAUGGACAUGGAAAGAGUGUUGGAGAAUGCGUGGCAAUGAAAUGCAUUUUUUAUGGACCAUAAUACUGCAUGUACAACAUGCAUAGGCAACAUGAUGUCCUUCGGUGCCACAAGCAUCACAAAUGAAUGGAAUUUGUCUCCAAAUCAAGGUGAAUGGGUGUUGAUGACUUUUAUCUUCAAUAACUGGUAAUGGCGAUAAACAAUCAAUGUGAAUAGCCANNNNNNNNNNNNNNNNNNNNNNNNNNNNNNNNNNNNNNNNNNNNNNNNNNNNNNNNNNNNNNNNNNNNNNNNNNNNNNNNNNNNNNNNNNNNNNNNNNNNNNNNNNNNNNNNNNNNNNNNNNNNNNNNNNNNNNNNNNNNNNNNNNNNNNNNNNNNNNNNNNNNNNNNNNNNNNNNNNNNNNNNNNNNNNNNNNNNNNNNNNNNNNNNNNNNNNNNNNNNNNNNNNNNNNNNNNNNNNNNNNNNNNNNNNNNNNNNNNNNNNNNNNNNNNNNNCCACAUGCUCUAGCUCUUCCAAAUUUCUUUCCGCAAUAUUAAAUGUAAACAAAGCACAUUUAAUAUGAAAGUUCAAGCCACAAGAGCAAUGGUAAAUGAAUUUCUCACAUGUUUCAUCACAGAAAUCGCAAACGCACCUUGUAUAAGAAGUGUAAGGUGGAGUCUGCAGAAGCAGGAGAGGAUGGUGGCGAUGAAAAGGAUGAUUAAGCUCCAAAGGUGCCUGGGCACACGUCUUGUGGAGGUAAAACCCACUGCACUCCACACAGCUAAAACAUGGAGCUGACACCUUCUCCCCACACCUUGAGCAAUCAACAACUCCAUUGCCAUUGCCAAGCAACUGCUCUUCAUUUAACAUCAACAGUGGAUGUUGAUGCCCGUAGUUCUUUAGCUCUUCCAUUUCUCCUUCCUCUCCGUAUCUUUCGAUGUGGUAGAGAAAGAAAAAUUGAAAUUGAAUAACUCAAAGAAAGCAGAAAAUUAGAAGGGAGAGGUUCCAAAUGUUUAUUUGUAUGAAUCUCUUUGAACUUGCUAUGGUACUUUGCUUCAACAGUGGGUUGCCUAUACCUAUAUAUGUUUGAUCUUCUUUAUAAUUACUAUGAAUGGGAUGCAAUGGGUUUGAGUGUACUCUAAGUAAAUUAUCAAUUUUUUUCCUUUAUUCUUUGCUUUGUGGAUUAACUAAUUUUGUGGAUUAGAUAACGAAUAUUCUGAUAUUGUUUGUGUGCCAAAAAAAACAAGAUGAUAUGAUGAAAGGUAUUUUUACAGGUUACAAAUUUUUCAACUGAGAAUGAUAUCAAACAAUCAAAUUAUUCUAAAAAAAUUGAAUUAAACCAUUUAUCUAAUCGAAAAUUAAAAAUCUAUUUAAUUUAUUUUGGUGAUUAGAAUAAAAAAAUUUGAACAAAGCUAGAUAGAUUAAUUAUACAAUUACCGAGCCACCAAUCGGCUCUCUUAGGAUAAUCUGUUACAGAAAUUACUCUUAACUCCCUUGGUAUCUGCUCAACCACUUUAAUCCCAAUGGGGUCAUCGUUCAUUAAAGUAACCAUAUAAUUAGACGUGAAUGAGACAUCUUUAUUAUAGGAAUGAUCCACAUUCAUUGUCCUGCAGUACAAACUGAAUCUACAAGCUAAUGAUAGAAACAUAAACCAAAAUAUAUAGUACAUUGUUUGAUUAAAAUUGAAAACAUGGUUCAUAUUUGUCCAUUGCAAUGUUCAGAUGUUCAAUAACAUGCAAAAGAUAUAUAUAUAUAGUCUAAUGACAGCUUCAAGUUUAUCUAAGCAAAUACACAUAUAUCACCCAAAACUUCCCACAGAAACUCAAAUUUAAGUACUAAUAAGUUCAUAAAACAAGUUAAACGAAAGAUUACAUCAAGGGAAAAAGACAAUCAAGACAUGUAACUAUACCGAUACUCAUAUUUAAUCAAACUCACAAAGCGAUAACCGCGUGUCGUUUGUGCUUGAGGAAUGUCUGAAACUCUUUAUAACCACUCCUGUAAUGGUCCAGACUGAAAGUAAGCUGUCUUAUUACCUCUCUUUUCUCUUCAGACACAUCUAAGAUCAUGCUCCUUUGCUUAUCCACUUCCUUCUCAAGGUCCUUUAUCUUCAAUUUCAACUCAUCUUCUAGAUUCUUUGUUAGCUGCAUAUGUUCCUUGCUUAAUUGUUGUAAAUGGUCCUCCAUUUGUCUGAUCUGUAAAUCACGAGAACGAACCUCGGCCACGAGAUUGUUUACUGUUGCAGUAACACAAUCUUUGUCUUUCAUAAGCAUAUCAUAUUUCAAUUUCAUUUUGUCAAGGUUCUUAUUCAAAGCUUCUAUCUGUAUACCUUUCUCAUUAAGUUCUGUCUUCAAUUGAUUGAUCUGACCUUGUAAGUUGGUUUCUUGUACAGCAAGCAAGCUUUCGAUAACUGGUAAUGGCGACACACAAUCAAUGUGAAUAGCCAACUCACAAGGUGAACAACCAUACAAAUAUCCUCUUCCUUGAGUUACUUGGCAUAUUUUGCAAGCACGCCGUUCACUAUUAAAUUGCAAAACAAGAGGAUGUUUGCGAUGACACGAAUGAUCCAUUUUGAGAGGAAGCUCAGCACACCUCUUAUGCAAUUUAAACCCACAAUCAAGAAAGAAGUAUGUAUACAUUGCUAAUGGUUCCCAGCACACAAAGCACUUACCCAGGUUUCCACNNNNNNNNNNNNNNNNNNNNNNNNNNNNNNNNNNNNNNNNNNNNNNNNNNNNNNNNNNNNNNNNNNNNNNNNNNNNNNNNNNNNNNNNNNNNNNNNNNNNNNNNNNNNNNNNNNNNNNNNNNNNNNNNNNNNNNNNNNNNNNNNNNNNNNNNNNNNNNNNNNNNNNNNNNNNNNNNNNNNNNNNNNNNNNNNNNNNNNNNNNNNNNNNNNNNNNNNNNNNNNNUUGAGAAUUAAUGAUACUUGUGAAAUUGUCAUCGUUGAGAUUCAAUUUCUUAGUGUUAUUUUGUUGGGUUGAAGUUAUUGAUGUAUGUAUGUUUAGUAUGGUAGAUAUUGUAUAUGGUUGAUAUUUUAAGUUGUAUGGAAUUUGGCUCUUUUGAAAGUAAAUGAUUCAGUUCAAUUUGUUGACUUGAAAUAUGUAGGAUAUGGCAUUUGAAAUUUAUGAUUCCUAAUUGUGGAGCAAGAUAAAUGUAUGUAUGACUUGAUCAAGGUUGAAUGUCUUUGUAUGUGAGUGUUUGAAAUGUGGUGCCAACGAGGGCUAUAUUGGUUAGGCUCUUAGAUUGUAUGGAAUUGACAUGUUUUGAGAUGUAUUUGAUGACAUUUAUAGAUUGGUUAUAGGCUUGGUUUGGUAGCCAAGAUAGGUGUGAAAAUUGCCUUGUUUUGGAAGCAAAAAUUGGUGUACAUUGCCAGGGACACUGGCUGUACACGGCCUACCCACAUGGUCGUGUGUCUUAAUGAUUUUAGGUGCAGGUCACACACGGUCUAAGACACAGCUAGUGACAUGGUCGUGUGACCCAAUAUCAAAUGCACACAUGGGCAGGCGCACGGCCGUGUGACCUUGAUUCAAAUAUACACACGGGCGGACACACGGUCGUGUGUCUCGACUUCAAAUGUCCACACAGUCUGGGCUGUGACACAUGGCCGUGUGUCCCUUAUUUUCAAAAUUUUCAUCUUUUUCCUAACUUUUCUGUUUUGUUUCAAAUUGGCCCUAGAAUGUUUCCAAUUUAUUUUUAGGGCUCCGUAAACUCAGUUCAAGGCCCAUAAGUGUAUGUUUAUUGUGAAUUGAUUGUGAAUUGAUUAAUUGUAAUUAUAAUGAAUAAUUGUUUUUAAGUAGUGUUAAAUGUUUGAAAUGUUAUCGUACUAUUCCGUGACUCCAAUCCGAUGACAGACACUGGUUUCUUAAGUUUAAAUUGUCUUUUAUAAAUUUUAGAUAAAUGCAUGAAAAAUACAAAAGCACUCUAUAGUAAUAUUUAUUAAUCAUUAAAACUUGAUUUUUGAAUACUUUUCUUGAUCGAGUUAGUGUUGAGCUAAGUCAUGAUACUAUCUAAAUUCAUUAUGCCAAUUCAACCAUACACUUAAAUAAUAGUAUAAAUGUUAUUGUUUAUGAAAAGAUCAAAAUAUCAAUGUUGAAUCCCAAAAUGAAAUCAACGGUUAAGAUUUGAAAUAUAAGUAGAGAUGGUAAUGGAGUGGGGCAGAAUGGUUUUUUGUCCACCUGACUUGAUACAUCUCUAACAUAAUCUGACUUUGAUCCAACUCAAAAUUAAAUAUUAAUUUACUUAUCUUGAACCUAACUCGAAAAAUCAAAGUUAUACCCAAUUUCGAAUGAUAUACCACUACUUUUAAUUGUUUUUAUAUAUUUUUAUUAAAAUAGAGUAAAAGUUUUAAAGUUUUUAAUGAUAACAUUACUUUUUUUUGUAGUUAUAGUUAUGCUAGGGAAAAUAAUUUUAUAAAUUGUUAUUAUCAUAUAUUAUAAUCUAAUAUUAUAUAUAAAUGGUUAUUUUGGUAAUUACGGGGCAAAUUUUUCUAAAUCGGAGAAAGAAUUGUAUGAAAUUGUGAUUCUACCUCAUCUGUAACACCCCUUACCCGAGACCGUUUCCGGAGUCGAGCACGAGGCAUUACUUAGCUUAUCUUACCAAUUCGGAGCAUAAAAACUAGGUUUGAAAAUUUAUUUCACUAUUUACAGCAAAUCUGUCCAAUCGCGCAGCAGUUACUAAAUUAAUUAUAACUUGAGCUACAGAACUCGAAAUUUAAUUCCGUAAAUUUUCCCUGAAACUAGACUCAUAUAUCUACUCACCAUAAAAUUUUUAGAAUUUUUGGUUCAGCCAAUUAGUACAGUUUAUUAGUUAAAGUCUCCCCUGUUUCACCAUUCGACUAUUCUGACCUCUUGUUACUAAAAAUAACUUUUCUCGUUAUAGGAUUUUCAUAUGCUAUUCCCACUUGUUCCUACAGAAAAUAGACUCAUUAAGGAAUCUAAGCAUGUAAAUUUCAGCUCAUAACCAUUUUUGUACAAUUUGUAAUUAUUUUCUAAACUCAGAACAGGGGACUCCAAAAACUGUUCUGACCCUGUCUCACGAAAAUUCACAUAUCUUAAAAUAUAAAUUUCCUUUUUCUACACCGUUAUUUUUCUAUGAAAAUAGACUCAACAAGCUUCAAUUCCAUAUAUCAUUCACCCUAUAAUUCAUUUUAUACUAUCUUGGGUGAUUUUUCAAAUUCACGUCACUGUGCUGCCUGAAUUCUGUUUCUUUGCAAAAUUUUAUCCUUUCAUGAUUUCCAUGCAUAAUUUAUCACCUAAUCUUUCAUAACAACAAACACCUUCAUCCUUAACCAUUUUAAUGACCAUACAUCAUCAAAUACUUACACAUCACUCAUUAGCAAAAUCAUCAUUACAAACAUACAAAAAAACUAAAUCCCUAUACAUGCCAUAACUCAAACGUGUUUCGAUAUAAAAUACCGAGCAGUUGUAGUUGAUAGUGUGGACGAUCUCCGACUUCUUUAGGAUCCUUGAAGUAGCUUUGCAAUACUAUAAGAGAAAGAGAAAUAAAAGAAGUAAGCAUAAAGCUUAGUAAGUUUACUAGCAAAUAAAUAACAAUAUUUAACUUAAAUAAUUAAACUCAAUGUCUAUAUCUCUAGUUUACUCUUUAGUUAAUCUCAUACUAGUUCUCUUACUUGUUUACUUAGAAUACUUGUGUGCAUAACUUACUCAAUCCUUGCUGCAUCGUUGAACAUCAAUUGAUAGUAUAAUAAGUUCUUAAGUCUUACAACUUACCUGAGCUUGCCAUUUAUGCUUUAAACUGAACUUUCAUGAACAUGAUUCAUUUACAAGCCCGUUGAGCUACAUUGGAAUAAUAAGGAUACUCGGGUCUCUUCUGAUAAUAACAUGCCAAGCCAUGUCCCAGACAUGGUCUUACAUGGGAUGUUCUCAUGUUGGUGCCCAUGCCAUGUCCCAGACAUGGUCUUAUAGGGACUCUCAUCUCGGUGCNNNNNNNNNNNNNNNNNNNNNNNNNNNNNNNNNNNNNNNNNNNNNNNNNNNNNNNNNNNNNNNNNNNNNNNNNNNNNNNNNNNNNNNNNNNNNNNNNNNNNNNNNNNNNNNNNNNNNNNNNNNNNNNNNNNNNNNNNNNNNNNNNNNNNNNNNNNNNNNNNNNNNNNNNNNNNNNNNNNNNNNNNNNNNNNNNNNNNNNNNNNNNNNNNNNNNNNNNNNNNNNNNNNNNNNNNNNNNNNNNNNNNNNNNNNNNNNNNNNNNNNNNNNNNNNNNNNNNNNNNNNNNNNNNNNNNNNNNNNNNNNNNNNNNNNNNNNNNNNNNNNNNNNNNNNNNNNNNNNNNNNNNNNNNNNNNNNNNNNNNNNNNNNNNNNNNNNNNNNNNNNNNNNNNNNNNNNNNNNNNNNNNNNNNNNNNNNNNNNNNNNNNNNNNNNNNNNNNNNNNNNNNNNNNNNNNNNNNNNNNNNNNNNNNNNNNNNNNNNNNNNNNNNNNNNNNNNNNNNNNNNNNNNNNNNNNNNNNNNNNNNNNNNNNNNNNNNNNNNNNNNNNNNNNNNNNNNNNNNNNNNNNNNNNNNNNNNNNNNNNNNNNNNNNNNNNNNNNNNNNNNNNNNNNNNNNNNNNNNNNNNNNNNNNNNNNNNNNNNNNNNNNNNNNNNNNNNNNNNNNNNNNNNNNNNNNNNNNNNNNNNNNNNNNNNNNNNNNNNNNNNNNNNNNNNNNNNNNNNNNNNNNNNNNNNNNNNNNNNNNNNNNNNNNNNNNNNNNNNNNNNNNNNNNNNNNNNNNNNNNNNNNNNNNNNNNNNNNNNNNNNNNNNNNNNNNNNNNNNNNNNNNNNNNNNNNNNNNNNNNNNNNNNNNNNNNNNNNNNNNNNNNNNNNNNNNNNNNNNNNNNNNNNNNNNNNNNNNNNNNNNNNNNNNNNNNNNNNNNNNNNNNNNNNNNNNNNNNNNNNNNNNNNNNNNNNNNNNNNNNNNNNNNNNNNNNNNNNNNNNNNNNNNNNNNNNNNNNNNNNNNNNNNNNNNNNNNNNNNNNNNNNNNNNNNNNNNNNNNNNNNNNNNNNNNNNNNNNNNNNNNNNNNNNNNNNNNNNNNNNNNNNNNNNNNNNNNNNNNNNNNNNNNNNNNNNNNNNNNNNNNNNNNNNNNNNNNCUUGGAAGCUUGAAAACCCUAACUAUGGCUUCCCCCCUUGCUGAUUUCGUUCAUAUGAAGAAGAUGAUGAUUUUUGCCAUCUUUUUCCCUUUUAAUUCAUUUUAAUUACUAGAUUACCAAAUUGCCCCUAACUUAAAAAUUUUCUAUUUCACUUAUCUCAUGUCCAUUUUUGUCUACCAAGUUACCAAUGGUAUAAUUACCAUAUAAGGACCUCCAAUUUAAAGUUUCAUAACAAUUGGACACCUCUAACAUGUAGAACUCAACUUUUGCACUUUUACAAUUUAGUCCUUUUGACUAAAUUGAGUGCCCAAACGUCGAAAUUUUCGAACGAAAUUUUCACGAAAUCAUUUUGUGAAAUUGUAGACCAUAAAAAUAUAAGAAAAAUAAAAUUUUUCUCAUCGGAUUUGUGGUCCCGAAACCACUGUUCCGAUAACCUCAAAUUUGGGCCAUUACAUCAUCUGUAUCCUUUUCUAAUACGAAAAUGACAAAUCAGAAUUUAAGAUCUAAUCCAUGUACUUUAAAAGUUAAAAUUUCAAUUAUCCUACUUCAACAAUUUAAAAAUUCUAGUUCAAUUAUUAUUAUUUGUAAUUUUUUUUGUCAAAAAAAAAUUAAACUUAACAUGUUUAUUUUUUUUAUCAAUCAUAUGAAAUAUUAUAUGAUGGCAAUCUAAUUAACAUGCCAAAUUGGAAAAUUUUGAUGGAAAUUAUUAACAAUAUUAAAGAUUGGAAUGAAAUUUUUAAAUCAGAAAAGUAAAAGAACCAAAUCUCAAAUAUUAUCUAAGUCAAAGGACUAACAACAUAUUUUCACAAAAGAAAUUGAUAGACUAAUUUAGGUUUUAGACUAAGCAAAUUUUACAUAUCCAACUAUAUUCAACUUGUAUAAAUAUGGAAGCUAGCAUAUAAGGAUAAUAAUUUUUCAUGGAAUGUAAGGACAAAAAAAAAUUAACAUUCUAGCAUGUAAGAAAAAGAAAUAAGCAAAUCAUAUAAAUUUUAUUACCAUAUAUUUACGGUUCAAACCUCACCAUUUUCAACCUAAAAACAUUACAUUGUUUAAACACACAAUUAAAAAGCUAAAUAAAAGUAGCAAUCAUUAACAACAACACACUGUUCUUUUGUGAAACUGAAGCAACAAUUGUCAGCAUUUAUCACAGCAUCGCUGAUUUUCUACAUUUCCAAUGAACAAUAUAGUUGCAUCCUGGUUCUGCACAUUCAAGAGAAAGAUCUUCACAACGCUCACCACAUUCAAUACAUUCAGGGUAGUAAGGAAAUUUCUUGACAAAAGUGAGAGGGUGUGGAUGUUCUCCUUCAUUGUAGAUGCUCCCGAGUUUGAUCAAUGGAUAUUCUCCAAGAACGCAAUCCACGUGAGCAGAAGUGUCACAAGUUUCACAAUAGUAAAACCAGUUCUUUGGAUCCCUUUCUUUCUCACAAAUGUCACAAUAAUGAUAUUUUGCAUAAUCAUUAAUCUUGUCAUAAGUGAGUGUAAGAAGAUGUUUAUCGCAUUUGUGUCUAACUCUAAUUGGUCGCAGAACACACCAUGGGCAUAAAUGAAUAUUACAAUCCUUACAACGAAAAGGGCAAACGACAUCCUUCCCACAAGCACUACACUGCCCCUGAUAAUUAUAAUAGAGAAGAAGAGGGUGUUUAUGCCCUGGAAUUUUUACAACAUCUUGGAGACUUAGAGCAAAACAUCGAAGGCAUAUCGGACUUCCACAUUCAUUACAUUUAUAAGAAAAUCCAUUAGAAAGGUACAUGCAUAGACCACAUUUGAACAUGCAGGCUGAAGUAAGGAUUAAGGGUUUUAAUCCAGAAUAAAAUUCCGUUUCUCCACAAGCAUGUUUCGAAAAAAGCUUCAUCUUAGGCAAUUCAGCACAAGAUUUAUGAAGAAAGAAAUCACAUCGCGAGCAAUGGUAGAACUUAGCGGAGAUCAAUAACAAGCACCCAUCACAACAUUUAUCACCAUGCUAUCUGAUGUUGUCACUUAACAUCAAGUAGUGCUUAUGCUCGCAAUGUUCUAUGAGUGUGGCUUCUCCAGCAUCAUUCGUCUCAAGAACCUCAGUGAUGGAGUUAACAGGUAUAUCAAGAGACUUGUCAGCUUCAUUUUCCUGUGAUACUAUGCAAUACAACUGCUCUUCUUUCAAUGCACAAUCCACAUGUAAUAUAACACUGCAAUCUGCACAGAAGUAACUACCGUGCUCUGUAUCGACAACUUCAUGGCACCAUAUGCAAUUCAAACUUUCAAAAUAUUCCUUGCGAAUGAAAUACGUGUGAAAAACACGAUGAACAUGGAACGCGUGUUCGAUAAUGCGUGGCAAUGAAAUGCAUUUUUUAUGUACCAUAAUACUGCAUGUACCACAUGUAUAGGCAACAUGAUGUCCUUCAGUGCCACAAGCAUCACAAAUGAAUGGAAUUUGUCUCCAAAACAAGGUGAAUGGGUGUUGAUGACUUUUAUCUUCGAUAACUGGUAAUGGCGACGCACAUUCAAUGUGAAUAGCCAACUCACAAGGUGAACAACCAUACACAAAUCCUCUUUGUUGAGUUACUUGGCACACUUUGCAAGCAAGCCGUUCACUAUUAAAUUGCAAAACAAGAGGAUGUUUGCGAUGGCACAAAAGAUCCAUUUUGAGAGGAAGCUCAGCACACCUCUUAUGCAAAUUAAACCCACAAUCAAGAGAGAAGUAUGUAUACAUUGCUAAUGGUUCCCAACACCCAAAGCACUCACCCAGGUUUCCACCAUCGUUUUUAGAGGAAAACGAUGGAUCCUCAAGGGCAACAUGCUCAAGCUCUUUCAAAUUACUUUCAGCAAUGUUAAAUGUUAACAAAGCACAUUUAAUAUGAAAGUACAAGCCACAAGAGCAAUGGUAAAUGAAUUUCUCACAUGUUUCAUCACAUAAAUCACAAACGCACCUUGUGUAAGAAGAUGGUGGAUUCUGCAAAAGCACGAGAGGAUGGUGGCGAUGAAAAGGAUGAUUAAGCUCUAAAGGUGCCUCGGCACAUGUCUUGUGGAGGUAAAACCCACAGCAGUCCACACAGCUAAAACAUGGAGCUGACACCUUCUCCCCACACCUUGAGCAAUCAACAACUCCAUUGCCAUUGCCAAGCAACUGCUCUUCAUUUAACAUCAACAGUGGAUGUUGAUGCCCAUAGUUCUUUAGCUCUUCCAUUUCUCCUUUCUCUCUGUCUCUUUCGAUGUGGUAGAGAAAGAAAAAUUGAAAUUGAAUAACUCAAAGAAAGCAGAAAAUUAGAAGGGAGAGAUUCCAAAUGUUUAUUUGUAGGAGUCUGUUUGAACUUGCUAUGCUACUUUGCUUCAACAGUGGGUUGCCUAUACCUAUAUAUGUUUGAUCUUCUUUAUAAUUUCCAUGAAUGGGAUGCAAUGGGUUUGAGUGUACUCUAAGUAAAUUAUCAUUUUUUUUCCUUUAUUCUUUGCUUUGUGGAUUAGCUAAUUUUGUGGAUUAGAUAAUGAAUAUUCUGAUAUUGUUUGUGUGUAAAAAAAAAUAAGAUAACAUGAUGAAAGGUAUUUUUACAAGUUACGAAUUUUUCAAUUGAGAAUGAUAUCAAACAAUCAAAUUAUUCUAAAAAAAUUGAAUUAAAUCAUUUAUCUAAUCGAAAAUUAAAAACCUAUUUAAUUUAUUCUGGUGAGAAUAAAAAAAUUUGAACAAAGCUAGAUAGAUUAAUUAUACAAUUACCGAGCCACCAAUCGGCUCUCUUAGGAUAAUCUGUUACAGAAAUUACUCUAACUCCCUUGGUAUUUGCUCAACCACUUCAAUCCCAAUGGGGUCAUCGUUCAUUAAAGUAACCAUAUAAGUAGAUGUGAAUGAGACAUCUUUAUUGUAGGAAUGAUCCAUAUUCACUGUCCUGCAGUACAAACUGAAUCUACAAGCUAAUGAUAGAAACAUAAACCAAAAUAUAUAGUACAUUGUUUGAUUAAAAUUGAAAACAUGGUUCAUAUUUGUCCAUUGCAAUAUUCAGAUGUUCAAUGACAUGCAAAAGAUAUAUAUAUAUAUAUAUAGUCUAAUGACAGCUUGAAGUUUAUCUAAGCAAAUACACAUAUAUCACCCAAAACUUCCCACAGAAACUCAAAUUUAAGUACUAACAAGUUCAUAAAACAAGUUAAACGAAAGAUUACAUCAAGGGAAAAAGACAAUCAAGACAAGUAAAUAUACUGAUACUCCUAUUUAAUCGAACUCAAAGCGAUAACCGCGUGUCGUUUGUGCUUGAGGAAUGUCUGAAGCUCUUUAUAACCACUCCUGUAAUGGUCCAGACUGAAUGUAAGCUGUCUUAUUACCUCUCUUUUCUCUUCUGACACAUCUAAGAUCAUGUUCCUUUGCUUAUCCACUUCCUUCUCAAGGUCCUUUAUCUUCAAUUUCAACUCAUCUUCUAGAUUCUUUGUUAGCUGCAUAUGUUCCUUGCUUAAUUGUUGUAAAUGGUCCUCCAUUUGUCUGAUCUGUAAAUCACGAGAACGAACCUCGGCCACGAGAUUGUUUACUGUUGCAGUAACACAAUCUUUGUCUUUCAUAAGCAUAUCAUAUUUCAAUUUCAUUUUGUCAAGGUUCUUAUUCAAAGCUUCUAUCUGUAUACCUUUCUCAUUAAGUUCUGUCUUCAAUUGAUUGAUCUGACCUUGUAAGUUGGUUUCUUGUACAGCAAGCAAGCUUUCGAUAACUGGUAAUGGCGACAGACAAUCAAUGUGAAUAGCCAACUCACAAGGUGAACAACCAUACAAAUAUCCUCUUCCUUGAGUUACUUGGCAUAUUUUGCAAGCACGCCGUUCACUAUUAAAUUGCAAAACAAGAGGAUGUUUGCGAUGACACGAAUGAUCCAUUUUGAGAGGAAGCUCAGCACACCUCUUAUGCAAUUUAAACCCACAAUCAAGAAAGAAGUAUGUAUACAUUGCUAAUGGUUCCCAGCACACAAAGCACUUACCCAGGUUUCCACCAUCGUUUUUAGAGGAAAACGAUGGAUCCUCAGGGCCACAUGCUCAGCUCUUCAAAUUUCUUUCAGCAUAUGAUUGUAACAAGCACAUUAAUGAAAGUCAGCACAAGAGCAAUGGUAAAUGANNNNNNNNNNNNNNNNNNNNNNNNNNNNNNNNNNNNNNNNNNNNNNNNNNNNNNNNNNNNNNNNNNNNNNNNNNNNNNNNNNNNNNNNNNNNNNNNNNNNGCACCUUGUGUAAGGAGUGUAAGGUGGAUUCUGCAGAAGCAGGAGAGGAUGGUGGCGAUGAAAAGGAUGAUUAAGCUCCAAAGGUGCCUCGGCACAUUUCUUGUGGAGGUAAAACCCACAGCACUCCACACAGCCAAAACAUGGAGCUGACACCUUCUCCCCACACCUUGAGCAAUCAACAACUCCAUUGCCAUUGCCAAGCAACUGCUCUUCAUUUAACAUCAACAGUGGAUGUUGAUGCCCAUAGUUCUUUAGCUCUUCCAUUUCUCCUUCCUCUCUGUCUCUUUCGAUGUGGUAGAGAAAGAAAAAUUGAAAUUGAAUAACUCAAAGAAAGCAGAAAAUUAGAAGGGGGAGAUUCCAAAUGUUAAUUGGUAGGAGUCUCUUUGAACUUGCUAUGGUACUUUGCUUCAACGGUGGGUUGCCUUUACCUAUAUAUGUUUCUUCUUUAUAAUUACUGUGAAUGGGAUGCAAUGGGUUUGAGUGUAUGCUAAGUACAUUAUCAAUUUUUUUUCCUUUAUUCUUUGCUUUGUGGAUUAGAUAAUGAAUAUUGAUGGCGAAAGUGUUCUGAUAUUGUUUGUGUAAAAAAAUAAGAUAAUAUGAUGAAGGUAUUUUGACAGGUUACGAAUUUUUCAAUUGAGAAUGAUAUCAAACAAUCAAAUUAUUCUAAAAAAAUUGAAUUAAAUCAUUUAUCUAAUCGAAAAUUAAAAACCUAUUUAAUUUAUUCUGGUGAUUAGAAUAGAAAAAUUUGAACAAAGCUAGAUAGAUUAAUUAUACAAUUACCGACCCACCAAUCGGCUCUCUUAGGAAUGAGAAUGAGACAUCUUUAUUAUAGGAAUGAUCCACAUUCACUGUCCUGCAGUACAAACUGAAUCUACAAGCUAACGAUAGAAACAUAAACCAAAAUAUAUAGUACAUUGUUUGAUUAAAAUUGAAAACAUGGUUCAUAUUUGUCCAUUGCAAUGUUCAGAUGUUCAAUAACAUGAAAAAGAUAUAUAUAUAUAUAUAUAGUCUAAUGACAGCUUCAAGUUUAUCUAAGCAAAUACACAUAUAUCACCCAAAACUUCCCACAGAAACUCAAAUUUAAGUACUAAUAAGUUCAUAAAACAAGUUAAACGAAAGAUUACAUCAAGGGAAAAAGACAAUCCAGACAAGUAACUAUACCGAUACUCAUAUUUAAUCGAACUCAUAAAGCGAUAACCGCUUGUCGUUUGUGCUUGAGGAAUGUCUGAAGCUCUUUAUAACCACUCCUGUAAUGGUCCAGACUGAAUGUAAGCUGUCUUAUUACCUCUCUUUUCUCUUCUGACACAUCUAAGAUCAUGUUCCUUUGCUUAUCCACUUCCUUCUCAAGGUCCUUUAUCUUCAAUUUCAACUCAUCUUCUAGAUUCUUUGUUAGCUGCAUAUGUUCCUUGCUUAAUUGUUGUAAAUGGUCCUCCAUUUGUCUGAUCUGUAAAUCACGAGAACGAACCUCGGCCACGAGAUUGUUUACUGUUGCAGUAACACAAUCUUUGUCUGUCAUAAGCAUAUCAUAUUUCAAUUUCAUUUUGUCAAGGUUCUUAUUCAAAGCUUCUAUGUGUAUACCUUUCUCAUUAAGUUCUGUCUUCAAUUGAUUGAUCUGACCUUGUAAGUUGGUUUCUUGUACAACAAGCAAGCUUUCGAUUUCCGAAUUUUUGGUCUCACGCUGCC
RNAcentral lists this long non-coding RNA (37918 nucleotides) under Gossypium raimondii (Peruvian cotton). Its description in RNAcentral is "long non-coding RNA (GRAI_LNC010219)". The record is from RNAcentral. Lineage: Eukaryota; Viridiplantae; Streptophyta; Magnoliopsida; Malvales; Malvaceae.